UACGAAGGGGGCGAGCGUUGUUCGGAUUUACUGGGCGUAAAGGGCGCGUAGGCGGCCCUCUUAGUCGCGUGUGAAAGCCCCGGGCUCAACCUGGGAACGGCGCGCGAAACGGGAGGGCUGGAGUUCGGGAGAGGAGAGUGGAAUUCCCAGUGUAGAGGUGAAAUUCGUAGAUAUUGGGAAGAACACCGGUGGCGAAGGCGGCUCUCUGGACCGAGACUGACGCUGAGGAGCGAAAGCGUGGGGAGCAAACAGG
RNAcentral lists this ribosomal RNA (253 nucleotides) under uncultured bacterium. RNAcentral describes it as "partial 16S ribosomal RNA". It matches the Rfam family "Bacterial small subunit ribosomal RNA", at positions 524 to 776 of the family's 1533-position model. The record is from RNAcentral.